GACGAACGCUGGCGGCGUGCUUAACACAUGCAAGUCGAACGGAAAGGCCCUGCUUUUGUGGGGUGCUCGAGUGGCGAACGGGUGAGUAACACGUGAGUAACCUGCCCUUGACUUUGGGAUAACUUCAGGAAACUGGGGCUAAUACCGGAUAGGAGCUCCUGCUGCAUGGUGGGGGUUGGAAAGUUUCGGCGGUUGGGGAUGGACUCGCGGCUUAUCAGCUUGUUGGUGGGGUAGUGGCUUACCAAGGCUUUGACGGGUAGCCGGCCUGAGAGGGUGACCGGCCACAUUGGGACUGAGAUACGGCCCAGACUCCUACGGGAGGCAGCAGUGGGAAUAUUGCACAAUGGGCGGAAGCCUGAUGCAGCAACGCCGCGUGCGGGAUGACGGCCUUCGGGUUGUAAACCGCUUUCGCCUGUGACGAAGCGUGAGUGACGGUAUGGGUAAAGAAGCACCGGCUAACUACGUG
Molecule: ribosomal RNA, 466 nt
Filed under: uncultured bacterium
Lineage: Bacteria
Description: partial 16S ribosomal RNA
Rfam family: Bacterial small subunit ribosomal RNA
Source: RNAcentral